Molecule: ribosomal RNA, 497 nt
Filed under: uncultured bacterium
Lineage: Bacteria
Description: partial 16S ribosomal RNA
Rfam family: Bacterial small subunit ribosomal RNA
Source: RNAcentral
GAUGAACGCUGGCGGCGUGCCUAAUACAUGCAAGUCGAGCGAACAGACGAGGAGCUUGCUCCUUUGACGUUAGCGGCGGACGGGUGAGUAACUCGUGGAUAACCUACCUAUAAGACUGGGAUAACUUCGGGAAACCGGAGCUAAUACCGGAUAACAUGUUGAACCGCAGGGUUCAACAGUGAAAGACGGUCUUGCUGUCACUUAUAGAUGGAUCCGCGCCGCAUUAGCUAGUUGGUAAGGUAACGGCUUACCAAGGCAACGAUGCGUAGCCGACCUGAGAGGGUGAUCGCCCACACUGGAACUGGGACACGGUCCAGGCUCCUACGGGAGGCAGCAGUAGGGAAUCUUCCGCAAUGGGCGAAAGCCUGACGGAGCAACGCCGCGUGAGUGAAGAAGGUCUUCGGAUCGUAAAACUCUGUUAUUAGGGAAGAACAAAUGUGUAAGUAACUAUGCACGUCUUGACGGUACCUAAUCAGAAAGCCACGGCUAACUACGUG